AUUCCCCUGCCUUGUGCGUGAUAGACCUUUUUUAAACCUACAUUUAUAAUAAGGGACGCUCAUCUCGAUGUGUGAAUUGCAGGCCUCCCGCGCGCUUGCGCGCGGAAGUUGGAAGCAGCGAAGCAUGUCGGAGGCAACCCACCUGCAUAAAAUGCAGGGUUAUAAAUGGGUCUACACGGCACGGUGGGGGCGGG
Molecule: non-coding RNA, 194 nt
Filed under: Oscillospiraceae bacterium
Lineage: Bacteria; Bacillati; Bacillota; Clostridia; Eubacteriales; Oscillospiraceae
Description: 6S RNA
Rfam family: 6S / SsrS RNA
About the family: E. coli 6S RNA was the first non coding RNA to be sequenced, but its function was unknown until recently. It consists of 184 nucleotides that fold into an extended hairpin structure with a large single-stranded internal bulge.
Source: RNAcentral